Molecule: ribosomal RNA, 572 nt
Filed under: Aureobasidium pullulans
Lineage: Eukaryota; Fungi; Ascomycota; Dothideomycetes; Dothideales; Saccotheciaceae
Description: eukaryotic LSU rRNA
Rfam family: Eukaryotic large subunit ribosomal RNA
Source: RNAcentral
CAUUGCCAUGCCUAGUACGGCGAGUGAAGCGGCAACAGCUCAAAUUUGAAAGCUAGCCUUCGGGUUCGCAUUGUAAUUUGUAGAGGAUGCUUUGGGUAAAACGCCAGUCUAAGUUCCUUGGAACAGGACGUCAUAGAGGGUGAGAAUCCCGUAUGUGACUGGAAAUGUUAACCUAUGUAAAGCUCCUUCGACGAGUCGAGUUGUUUGGGAAUGCAGCUCUAAAUGGGAGGUAAAUUUCUUCUAAAGCUAAAUAUUGGCGAGAGACCGAUAGCGCACAAGUAGAGUGAUCGAAAGAUGAAAAGCACUUUGGAAAGAGAGUUAAAAAGCACGUGAAAUUGUUGAAAGGGAAGCGCUUGCAAUCAGACUUGUUUAAACUGUUCGGCCGGUCUUCUGACCGGUUUACUCAGUUUGGACAGGCCAGCAUCAGUUUCGGCGGCCGGAUAAAGGCUCUGGGAAUGUGGCCUCCACUUCGGUGGAGGUGUUAUAGCCCAGUGUGUAAUACGGCCAGCCGGGACUGAGGUCCGCGCUUCGGCUAGGAUGCUGGCGUAAUGGUUGUAAGCGACCCGUCUGAA